AGCUGCGAUAAAUAGUGCGAAUUGCAAACGCAUUGAGCACAAAAAUUUCGAAUGCACAUUGCACCAUUGGGUUGAUUCCCGAUGGUACGUCUGGUUGAGGGUCAAU
RNAcentral lists this ribosomal RNA (106 nucleotides) under Brugia pahangi. Its description in RNAcentral is "5.8S ribosomal RNA". It matches the Rfam family "5.8S ribosomal RNA", at positions 51 to 154 of the family's 154-position model. From Rfam's summary of the family: 5.8S ribosomal RNA (5.8S rRNA) is a component of the large subunit of the eukaryotic ribosome. It is transcribed by RNA polymerase I as part of the 45S precursor that also contains 18S and 28S rRNA. Lineage: Eukaryota; Metazoa; Nematoda; Chromadorea; Rhabditida; Onchocercidae. The record is from RNAcentral.